AUAUAGCAGAGCAAUCAAAACAGCGAGAAUCCCACGCUUGCGGCUUGCCCAUCGCAUCGUUAUAUAAUCACUGACCACCCUCAUCGGCCUCGCCUCAGCUAGCGGUCUCUUUCUGUUGUAUAUCUCCCACCUUCUCCGCUUCCGCGCCUCCCACACACCCUCAUAUCGUUUCCAAACCCCUUCCAAUUCGGCAAUUCCUAUCCUCUUCUCUUUUCUUCCCCACCGAAAAACCCUAUUUUGCCGAUCCCAAAUGCUCCAUCUUUCCGCUUCUUGAUCGCCGCCACCACGGCGAGGCCAAGCCCAUUCUUGUAUGGAAACGCGGAGCCGGAAGCGGGCCGAGGCCUCCUCUUCUAAUUCGUCGGCUACCCGCUCAACAAAACGCCCCCACACCUCUUCCGACCCCCCUGUCGCUACCCGCACUCGCCAGUCCUCUAUGGACUCCGACCAAGCCUCUGGCCGCCGCGACCGCCGUAGCUCCGGUAGAGAGAGGGACCCGCCCGAGGGUUCUUCUCGCGAAGCCGAGAGGAUCUUAGGACUUAGCUUCGAUAGCGCUGGUGCUGAUGAUGACAACGACAGCGAAACCGGCGUUGGAGUCGGGAUUCUUCACCAGAACUUUACCAACGCGAGUAGUGCCCUUCAGGGACUUUUGCGGAAACUGGGUGCGGGUUUGGAUGAUCUAUUGCCGUCUUCGGGCGUGUCGGGUUCGUCCUCGUCUAACCAGAGUAGUCGACUCAAGAAAAUUCUUGCUGGGUUGAGGGCUGAUGGUGAGGAGGGGCGGCAGGUCGAAGCGCUGACGCAGCUGUGCGAGUUGUUGUCGAUUGGGACGGAGGAUUCUUUAGGAUCCUUUUCAGUGGACUCGUUUGUGCCCGUUUUAGUUGGGUUGUUGAAUCAUGAGAGUAAUCCUGAUGUGAUGAUACUUGCUGCGAGGGCGCUUACUCAUUUAUGUGAUGUUUUGCCGUCGUCCUGCGCUGCUGUAGUGCAUUAUGGUGCUGUUCCGUGUUUCUGUGCUCGGUUGCUUACGAUUGAGUACAUGGACUUGGCGGAGCAGUCUCUUCAAGCUCUUAAAAAAAUUUCACAAGAGCACCCGACGGCUUGUUUGAGGGCUGGGGCACUUAUGGCUGUUCUCUCUUAUCUUGAUUUUUUCUCCACAGGAGUCCAGAGGGUAGCAUUAUCUACUGCUGCAAAUAUGUGCAAGAAACUUCCAUCCGAUGCAGCUGAUUUUGUAAUGGAAGCUGUUCCAUUGUUAACAAAUCUUCUUCACUAUCAUGAUGCGAAGGUGCUUGAAUAUGCCUCUGUUUGCCUGACACGAAUAGCUGAGGCAUUUGCCUCAUAUCCUGAUAAAUUAGAUGAGCUUUGCAAUCAUGGGUUGGUUGCUCAAACCGCUGGGCUUAUUUCGUUGAGUAACUCCGGAGGGCAGGCUUCUCUCAGCACAUCAACAUACACGGGUUUGAUUCGCCUUCUUUCAACAUGCGCUAGUGGAUCACCUUUAGCUGCGAAAACUCUGUUGCUCCUUGGUAUCAGUGGAAUCCUUAAAGACAUCUUAUCAGGUUCUAGUCUUGUUGCUAGUGUGUCAGUUUUUCCUGCCUUAUCAAGGCCGCCAGAACAGGUUUAUGAGAUAGUUAAUCUCGCGGAUGAGCUUCUUCCGCCACUGCCCCAAGGAAUUGUUGCCCUCCCGAUUUGCUCUAAUUUUCUUGUGAAAGGGUCGGCGGGAAAGAGAAUUGCUGGUAGUUCUUCAGCGAAACAGGAGGAGGCUAAUGGAUCAAAGAAUGAACAAUCUGCUCAUGAGAAAUUAUUGCAAGAUCAACCUGAACUCGUUCAGCAAUUUGGUUUGGACCUACUGCCUAUCUUGACUCAGAUAUAUGGCUCUAGUGUCAACGGUCCAAUUCGACAUCGAUGUCUUUCAGUCAUUGGGAAACUAAUGUACUUUAGCUCAGCGGAGAUGAUCCAGUCCUUACUUAGUGCAACAAACAUAUCAAGCUUCUUAGCCGGAGUUUUGGCUUGGAAAGACCCACAAGUACUGAUCCCUGCUCUUCAGAUUGCAGAGAUUCUUAUGGACAAGCUUCCUAGAUUUUUUGCCAAAUCGUUUGUGAGAGAAGGGGUUGUCCAUGCUGUUGAUGCUCUUAUCCGUUCAGUUUCUUCAAAUACUAUUCCUGAGAAGGACACUGAUUCUGUGUCUAGCACAUCAUCUCGUUCUCAACGUUACCGAAGGAGGAAUGGUGGACUGAACUCCGAUGGUGGUUUGCUGGAGGAGGCAAAAGCUUCAACAGCUGGAACCGGUAGUUCAUCACCACUGACAGAGGUUUCUGCUGCAAAUAACAGCAUUCGGUCAGCUGUGAGUGAGUUUGCCAAGGCUUUCAAAGACAAACACUUUCCUGCUGUUCCUGGGGCUACUGAAAUUGGCAUUACUGAGGAUCUUCUUCGUUUGAGAAGUCUUUCUUCAAAAUUGAGUGCUGGUGCUGAUGAUGUGAAGGCCAGAGCAAAGGGGAAAUCUAAAGCCAGUGUAUUUGAUACUUCAACAAGUACGGAGGGGGAGUUGGAUGCUAUUAUUUCUGAGAUGCUAAUUGAACUCAGUAAAGGCAAUGGUGUAUCAACAUUUGAGUUCAUUGGUAGUGGCGUUGUAGUAGCUUUACUGAAUUAUUUUUCAUGUGGAACAUUUGCAAAAGAUAGAACCGCUGAGGUUAACCUGCCAAAUCUUCGUCAGCAAGCACUUAGGAGGUACAGAUCAUUCAUAGACCUCGCCCUUCCAGUUGGUGUCAAGGAACAAAAUGAAGCUCCUAUGAAUAUUUUAGUUCAAAAACUUCAAAAUGCUUUAUCUUCUUUGGAACGAUUUCCUGUUGUACUUAGCCAUCCUUCCAGAUCUUCCAGUGGGGGAAGUGCUCGCCUUUCCUCGGGUCUAAGUGCAUUGUCACAACCUUUCAAGUUGCGCUUAUGUAGAGCACAGGGUGAAAAGUCUCUACGUGAUUAUUCUUCAAAUAUUGUACUGAUUGAUCCUCUGGCAAGUUUAGCAGCUGUUGAAGAGUUUCUUUGGCCAAGGAUCCAAAGGAGUGACUCUAUACAGAAGACUUUAGCAUCUGCAGGAACUCCUGAUGUGGGUGCUUCGGCAGUGGGAGGCAAUGCUUCAUCAUUAGGUACACCAACUCCUUCAGUUCAUCGUCCUACUACUAGAUCUAGGUCAUCAUUAAUCAUAGGAGGUACAGCGGGAAAGGAAUCUUCCGAGGGAAAUGCAAACUCUUCAAGAGGAAAGGGUAAAGCUGUUGUGAAACCUACACCUGAUGAAGGAAAAGGAUCCCAAACAAGAAAUGCAGCCUGCAGAAGAGCAGCUUCAGUACAAGACACAGAAACGAAACCUGCACAUAGUGACUCUGACUCUGAGGAUGACUUGGAUAUGUCUCCUGUUGAUAUUGAUGAUGCUCUAAUGAUUGAAGAAGAUGACGUCUCAGAUGAUGAAGAGGAUGAUCAUGAUGAGGUGCUGAGAGACGAUUCUCUUCCUGUCUGUACACCUCAUAAAGUGCAUGAUGUGAAAUUAGGAGAUUCUGCUGAUGAAUUGGCAAAUGCUCCUUCAGCAAGUGACGGUCAUACACAACUUCCUGCUUCUACGAAUAAGAUUGCACAAGCUAGAGGUUCGGAGUUGGCUGAAUUGAGAAACAUAAGCACACUUAGCUCAAGAGGUGCACUGUCAUUUGCUGCUGCUGCCAUGGCUGGGCUUGCAUCUGUAAGUGGUAGAGGAAUCAGAGUUGGUAGGGAGCGCCGUGGACUUCCACAUGGAAGUAGUGUUCGUGAGCAGUACAAUAAGUUGAUAUUCACAGUUGGCGGUAAACAAUUGAACAAGCAGAUGACUAUAUAUCAGGCUAUCCAACGCCAACUUGUGCUGGAUGAGGAUGACGAUGACAAAUUAACUGGGUCUGAACUAAUGCCCACUGAUGGAAGCAGAUUCUUAAGUGAUAUUUUUACUAUAACUUAUAAGAAGGCAGAUAAUCUGGCUGAAUCUGCUCAAGGAGUGUCAUUAUCCUCAGAUAAGUCGUUAAAACCGGGUUCUGCUUCAAAUUCAGGGUGGAAGCAAUCAUCUCUUCUUGAUAGCAUCUUGCAUGGGGAGCUUCCUUGUGAUAUUGAGAAAUCAAGUCCCACAUACAACAUUUUGGCAUUAUUGCGUGUGCUGGAAGGUUUGAAUCAACUAGCUCCUCGUCUAAGAGUUCAAAAAGUGGCUGAUGAGUAUGCUGAUGGAGAGUUAGCUACUCCGGAUGAAUUAUAUUCAUCUGGUGCCAGAGUUCCUCCAGAAGAGUACAUAAAUAAAAAGUUAACCCCAAAGCUUGCACGACAACUCCAAGAUGCUCUUGCAUUGUGUAGUGGUAGUCUUCCUUCAUGGUGCUAUCAAUUGACAAAGGCAUGCCCUUUUCUUUUUCCAUUUGAGACAAGGAGACAAUAUUUCUAUUCUACCGCUUUUGGACUAUCUCGAGCGUUGCAUCGUUUGCAGCAGCAACAAAAUGCUGAAAAUACUGGUGCCGCCAAUGAAAGAGAGGUCCGUGUUGGUAGAUUACAACGGCAGAAGGUUCGUGUUUCAAGGAAUCGCAUAUUGGAGUCUGCUGCAAAGGUUAUGGAGAUGUAUUCAAGUCAAAAAGCUGUUCUUGAAGUAGAAUAUUUUGGUGAGGUUGGUACUGGAUUAGGUCCCACACUAGAGUUCUAUACUCUUUUAAGUCAUGAUCUUCAGAAGGUUGGACUUGGAUUAUGGAGAUCUAACUCAUCAUUUGACACAUCUGCAAUGGAAUUUGAUGGAAAGGAAGCAAAGGAAGCAAAUAAUUAUGAUGCAUCUGAUGAAGAGAAUACGGCUCAAAGUAGGGAUUUUAUUCAUGCUCCUCUUGGAUUGUUUCCUCGUCCGUGGCCUCCCAAUGCUGAUGUUUCUGAGGGUAGCCAUUUCACGAAAGUCCUCGAAUAUUUUCGCUUGCUUGGUCGAGUGAUGGCAAAAGCUUUACAAGAUGGCAGGCUCUUGGAUCUGCCACUUUCGACAGCCUUUUAUAAGCUUUUGCUUGGUCAAGAGCUUGAUUUGUAUGACAUUCUUUCAUUUGAUACUGAAUUUGGAAAGAUUUUGCAAGAGCUGCAAAUCCUUGUUAGCCGGAAAAAGGUUCUAGAAACAUCUGGGAGAGGCAAUCAGAGGGUGACAACUAAUCUUUAUUUUCGUGGUGCUCCAAUUGAAGAUUUAUGUUUAGACUUUUCCCUUCCUGGGUAUCCGGAUUACAUUCUUAAAGAAGGAGAAGAAAGCACGGUGGUUAAUAUUGACAACUUGGAAAUGUACAUUAGUUUGGUGAUUGUUGCUACAGUUAAGACUGGAAUUAUGCGGCAGGUGGAAGAAUUGAGAGCAGGUUUCAACCAGGUCUUUGACAUUUCCUCUCUGCAAAUUUUUUCUCCACAAGAAUUGGAUCACCUCAUCUGUGGCCGUAGAGAAUUGUGGGAGCCUGAAACAAUGAUCGAUCAUAUUAAAUUUGAUCACGGAUACACUGUUAAAAGCCCUGCAAUUACCAAUUUGCUCGAGAUAAUGGCAGAGUUCACCCCAGAGCAGCAGCGUUCUUUCUGCCAGUUUGUUACUGGUGCUCCUAGGCUUCCGCCUGGUGGCUUAGCUGCACUAAACCCAAAACUAACCAUAGUGAGGAAGCAUCCCUCAACAACUACAAAUACAGCGUUAGCAUCAAAUGGAACAGCAAUAUCUGAAUCAGCAGAUGAUGACCUUCCAAGUGUUAUGACUUGCGCAAAUUAUCUCAAACUUCCUCCUUAUUCUACCAAGGAAAUUAUGUACAAGAAACUCUUGUAUGCCAUAAAUGAAGGGCAGGGUUCAUUUGAUCUUUCCUAAACCAAAGGUACCAGCGAAGAUUUAGCCUUGCUAUUGGAGAUGAUUGCACAUUUUUGCAGCCUCUGAGCCCCCGUGAAAAAUAGAUUACAUAAGAGUUAUUAUUUCUUCAAAUCAUGGAAGGUUGGAAAGAGAAAAGGCCGCUCUAUGAAAAAAGUCUGUAAAUAAGAAACAAAAGUUUUUGUUUUGGUAAUUUUCUAAUUAUAAGCUUGGUUGGGCUCAGCAGUAGCUACAGGUUCAUUCUUCAAUUUCAUUUCUGACUUGUGAGAUUGGGCUGAUAGAAUUUGGAAGAUAUGAUAUGAAAUUAGAACGUUGAAUCUUUUUUUAUUGAUCAAUAAAUUCUUUGGAGAUCCAGUUAAAUAAAGAUAAAUACAAUAUUUUAUGCUUA
RNA transcript from Dendrobium catenatum, 6224 nucleotides. It is a transcript of the gene named E3 ubiquitin-protein ligase UPL3-like, with no coding region annotated. Lineage: Eukaryota; Viridiplantae; Streptophyta; Magnoliopsida; Asparagales; Orchidaceae. The record is from RefSeq and is a predicted model, not a curated record. The transcript has 18 exons.